This 731-nucleotide long non-coding RNA is filed under the name Prunus dulcis (almond). The record is from RNAcentral. Lineage: Eukaryota; Viridiplantae; Streptophyta; Magnoliopsida; Rosales; Rosaceae.
UUUCCAUAUAAAAUGGGUCUUGAAAGGAAGCUCAACAACGGCUCAUGGAGAUGGAAAGAAAAGGCUUUACUAGUUCUACAAGCACCACUGUAAUCGUUGAGGCCCCAGGAGAAAGAGCUGAAGAAGCGCUCAAACAAGGUUCCAUAUUUUCUCUCUUUCUAUGUACCAUAUAUAAUGCGUGUUAUGCUAAGUAUGGAAUUUAUGUUUUUACCCAAAGUCUGCUUAUUGAAAAAGUCUUUUCAUUUUUAUCUUUGCCUUGCCUGCAUAUAAGAUGGGUCUCCAAAUGAAGCUGUAAAACUGCUCAAGGAGAAGCAUGAAAAAGAAUUUGGGGCAUCAGGGAAAAGCACUGAGCAAGAGCUCCCACAAAACAAAAAAAGUGAGGCCGCAAAUACCAAUGGAACCAACGAGAAGCCCGUGAGCAUUCAUAGGAAUCCAGUUUAAAAAGCAACAAAUAGCCACCAUGUUGGGGUUUCCGAGUGCAACAACCGUGCUCAAGGGACAGGCUGCGACAUUGAAGACAAUGAGGUUAAUGCAGAAGAUAGCGAGUUUGUUGGGGUUUUCAAUUUUGGCAACGAGUCCAAAAAGCCAAAUUAAUUUCAACAUUUCUCAUCUGUCCUUUGUGUGCUUAGUGUUGCUCUGCUUUGCUAUGUACAAAAUAAAUUGUGGUUGUGUUACGUGUAUUGUUAUUUGCUUGUUUUGGUUGGUUGGAGUGUCUCUUGCUAUGAGUGACG